Molecule: ribosomal RNA, 499 nt
Filed under: uncultured bacterium
Lineage: Bacteria
Description: partial 16S ribosomal RNA
Rfam family: Bacterial small subunit ribosomal RNA
Source: RNAcentral
GACGAACGCUGGCGGCGUGCUUAACACAUGCCAGUCGAACGGGCCCGCCCCUGUUUUUGGGGGUGGGUUGAGUGGCGAACGGGUGAGUAUCACGUGAGUAACCUGCCCCCUGCUCCUGGAUAACUGCUUGAAAGGGCGGCUAAUACGGGGUGUGCCGGCUGGUCCGCAUGGGCCUGGUCGGGAUAGUUUCAUCUUCGGGUGUUUCGGUGGGGGAUGGGCUCGCGGCCUAUCAGCUUGUUGGUGGGGUGAUGGCCCACCAAGGCGGUGACGGGUAGCCGGCCUGGGAGGGUGGGCGGCCACACUGGGACUGAGACACGGCCCAGACUCCUGCGGGAGGCAGCAGUGGGGGGUAUUGCACAAUGGGCGGAAGCCUGAUGCAGCGACGUCGCGUGAGGGAUGGAGGCCUUCGGGUUGUGAACCUCUUUCUCCGGUGGUGAAGGCCCUGUCCGUUGCGGCGGGGUUGACGGUAGCCGGGUAUGAAGCGCCGGCUAACUACGUG